This 389-nucleotide ribosomal RNA is filed under the name uncultured bacterium. RNAcentral describes it as "bacterial SSU rRNA". It matches the Rfam family "Bacterial small subunit ribosomal RNA", at positions 30 to 417 of the family's 1533-position model. The record is from RNAcentral.
AUUGAACGCUGGCGGCAUGCUUUACACAUGCAAGUCGAACGGCAGCACGGGUGCUUGCACCUGGUGGCGAGUGGCGGACGGGUGAGUAAUACAUCGGAACGUGUCCUGAAGUGGGGGAUAACGCAUCGAAAGAUGUGCUAAUACCGCAUAUUCUCUGAGGAGGAAAGUAGGGGAUCGAAAGACCUUAUGCUUUUGGAGCGGCCGAUGUCUGAUUAGCUAGUUGGUAAGGUAAUGGCUUACCAAGGCGACGAUCAGUAGUUGGUCUGAGAGGACGGCCAGCCACACUGGGACUGAGACACGGCCCAGACUCCUACGGGAGGCAGCAGUGGGGAAUUUUGGACAAUGGGCGCAAGCCUGAUCCAGCAAUGCCGCGUGAGUGAAGAAGGCCU